AUUGAACGCUGGCGGCAUGCUUUACACAUGCAAGUCGAACGGCAGCGCGGGGCAACCUGGCGGCGAGUGGCGAACGGGUGAGUAAUACAUCGGAACGUACCCAGAAGUGGGGGAUACCGUGGCGAAAGUUACGCUAAUACCGCAAACGUUCUACGGAAGAAAGUGGGGGAUCGCAAGACCUAAUGCUUUUGGAGCGGCCGAGGUCUGAUUAGCUAGUUGGUGAGGUAAAGGCUCACCAAGGCGACGAUCAGUAGCUGGUCUGAGAGGACGACCAGCCACACUGGGACUGAGACACGGCCCAGACUCCUACGGGAGGCAGCAGUGGGGAAUUUUGGACAAUGGGCGCAAGCCUGAUCCAGCAAUGCCGCGUGAGUGAAGAAGGCCUUCGGGUUGUAAAGCUCUUUUGUCAGGGAAGAAACGGCUGAGGUUAAUACCUUUGGCUAAUGACGGUACCUGAAGAAUAAGCACCGGCUAACUACGUGCCAGCAGCCGCGGUAA
RNAcentral lists this ribosomal RNA (498 nucleotides) under uncultured bacterium. RNAcentral's name for it is "partial 16S ribosomal RNA". It matches the Rfam family "Bacterial small subunit ribosomal RNA", at positions 30 to 523 of the family's 1533-position model. The record is from RNAcentral.